RNAcentral lists this long non-coding RNA (3669 nucleotides) under Equus caballus (horse). RNAcentral's name for it is "lncRNA (ENSECAG00000060035.1)". Lineage: Eukaryota; Metazoa; Chordata; Mammalia; Perissodactyla; Equidae. The record is from RNAcentral.
CAGUGUCUUCUUGUGUUCAGUCUUAAUCUUCACAAAUGAGCCUUUUGGGGUAUCCCUGUGCUUGGCUUCUUGGAGGGAGUAUCUGUGUAGGGCAGUAUUGCCAGACAGCCCCAAGAGCCCCGCCCCUGGUGUGUGCAUUCUGCAUCAUCCCCGAGAUUGUGAAUAUGAUGGGUUUUACUCCAUCAUUGGGUUGCAUCAUAAGGCACAGCUAACUUUAAGAAAGGGAGAUUAUUGGGAUGGGCCUAACCUAAUCAGGAGAGCACUUAAAAGGGAUGGUUCUUCCCAGAGAGAGACUCUAAGUGUGAGAGAGAUUCGAUGCGGGAGCUCUGUUUCUGGCUUUGACAAUGGAGGAGGCAUGUGGCAAGGAAUGCGGCUGGCCUCUAAGAGCAGCCCCUCGCUGACGGUGAGGAAACAGGGACCCCAGUCCAACAGCUGCAAGGAACUGAGUUCUGCCAUAACCAGGUGAACUGGAAGAGAACCCGGAGCGUGAGGCGAGAACACAGCCAGCCGACACCUGACAGCUGAUUUCAGCCUGUGAGACCCUGAGCAGAGAACUCAGCUACACUCCGCCCGGUCUUCUGACCUACAGAACCGUGAGCUAAUGCACUUAUGUGGUUUUAAGCCACUAAGUUUGCGGUGAUCUCUUACAGAGUGAUAGACAGCUGAGAUGCUGAUGCUUCACCUGCCAGCAGAGAAGAGGGGAAAAGAUUCCAGGACUCUUCAUUUAAGUCAACAACCCCCAAAUACAGUUAAUGGUGACCUAAACUCCCAUGGAAGAAAGAGGAAAAGAAAAUUAUGCUUAACGUAUGGCAUAUCCUGUCCCGGUGCACCGAACUUAUUAGGAACUGGGUAUGGCAUGAGGUGGACCCAGACGUCAGACUUAGGAUGAGUGUGUAACAGAUGUGUGUUGAAUAGGGGAAAGGUGACAUAGGAGGUGGGACUCGAAGCAGAGUCUGGUCAGGUUGACAAAAGCCAUCACCUGGCCUGGCCCUGGACAGGUCAGAGGGCCACUCCCCAAAGGGCUUGUGCAACAUCGAUGAAGACACCCCAGCAGACUUGUCUUCUUGCUUUCACAGUGGAGAGGCACUCGGUGAUCAGGGACAAGCAGUCCCAGCCUGGGGUUUUCCUGGGGACUUUGAAUGCUAAAAUGAGACAGUCUGGGUAAACCAGGACAGUUGACCACCCUACUCAGUGAGUCCCACCCGAGGUUCAAAUUCUCCUCGUAAAGGAUGUGGGUUGAUUCCAGAACCUUUGAAACCAUCAUCUCACCUCUACAGGAACCUUGAGUGUGGUGUCUGAGAGGAGAGUUAUAGCUCCCAGCCAGAAUCCUUUUAUAUGUGAGAGAAAUAAAUGUGAAUCAUUUUUAUAUCGCUGUUAUUCUGGAUUCUCUGUCACUAACAGUCAAACCAAAUUCCUACUGAUAAGACUGUAUAAAAGUAAUACUAAUUAAAUUCAUUUACAUAAGCCCACCAAUUUCACUCUUAAUUACUGUGAUGCGCAAUAAUGAAGUACACACCCCAACAUACCAUUGUAAGUUUUAUUUGAUUUCAGCACUAAACUUAGUUUAUAGAUAUGCUUGGCUUCUUUCAACAGUUUGUUGAUUACAUAGUAUAAUCAUCCACUGACAACUUAAAAAACAUGGGAGGAGACAUAUUUCUUCCAGUGUGUGAAUGGAGGCCCAGGGCACCACGCCCCACUGUUGAAUUGGAAUAAAUGGAUCAAUCCUUUUUGAACAGAGUCUGAGAGACAGCAUUAACACACACCUCAUGGCCAAAGUACAUUUUAUUCAGCCUUUGCCGCAUGCAGUUGUUUUUGGGGACAUGGUGUGACCCUUGGCAUAUCUGCAUCUGUGAAAUAAUAAGCCAUUCUUUAAAUCAAGAUUUUGCAGCAUUACGAAUGCUUGGAGAGGGUUUUCAAAAUUAUUAUUCUAGUGCUAGUCUGCUUCCCUUCUUUCUCUUAAAUAAUCUGCAUUAGGCAUUCAAAAGGUCCACUCAUCCCAGGACAUGACUAGAGCUAAUUUGCUGAGAGCCUCUGAGCACCGCCCAGCCCUGCUCAGGACAUCUGCUGGGAACUUAAAUCAUUUUAAGUGGAGGAAUUAGCCUCCUGUUUUCUGCUGGGAAAGAAACGUGACUCUGGGUAUUCCGCACCAGGCUUUUAAUGGUGGAAAUGAACUAUGCUGCAGAUAUACAAAAGAAAAAUAAAUCCAUCUUCUUUUACUAGGAGCUUGACACUUUUAUUUAGAAAAUUUACAUUUCUGAAUGCUUCCUUCGUACAUUACAGAUGCAUUUCAAAUGUGACUCUGUUAGGUUAAUAGUCUACGCCUUAAAAACAGAUCAGGAUGAAAGUGGGAUUUGAGGCCACUUUGAAGGAAGAAAGAAAGAAGAGAGAGGAUUUAGCUAAUGAUAAGAUGAAUCAAAGAGCAUAACAAAUUCUUUUCUUGCAAAAGCAGAGAAAUUCUGAUAAGCCUGAAAGACUCUGAAUAGAGAAACAUGCUCUUGUAAAUUACUUUUGCAUCAGCACUUACCUCCCCAAGACUUUAACAUGGAAAAUCUAAAUGGGAAUUCUAUAUAAUGGACCAUCAUCCACAAUAUAUCAGUUAUGGAUGUACAUACUGUGUGUGUUUUUAAUAUGCUUUUCUAUCUGUGGUUUCAGUGUUGAAUGCUGUUUUCUCCGCACAUAGAACAAACUGAAAGACAGCUUGGAAUUGACUUCUGCACAUUGCCACACCACUACGACAACGGCUCCAAUCUGAGUAAGAUUCAGGAGUGAAAUCGAUGCAAGGAGCUCCAUGGAAGUAGGAUUGAAUGCCUCUGGUCUUUUGGCAAGCUGUUUUCAUCAAGUCAUAGCAAGUAUCACGUCUCAAGCCAUCAUAUGACAAGACAUUCUGUAAGGAGUUUACUCAUUAUUUACUGAGCAUGUCAAAGUGUUGGCUGCCUCCAGGGCUCUCAGGGGAGCACAUAUUUGCCAGAGUAUUUCUGUGAGAAAUACAAGCAAGAGAUAAAUUUGCCACUCAUUUUCAGGACUGCCACUAAGAACACAUAGUCUGUUUGCUCCCUCUCCUGCAGAGGUUUCUGGGUACAGAGAAAAUACCAUUAAGAAAUAGAUGUAACAUCAAGGUAUCCUAGGCUGGGUGACUGCUAUGAACUGUCCCCAUACCCACAGUGUAAAUAUGAUCUCUUUUCUUUUGUGUCUUUCAACUAAUGACUUAAAUUCCAUGUACUGUAUCAACAGGAAAGCUAAUAUCUUCUUCUUGAAUUUUAUGCCCCCUUAGCCUGAAUUAUGAAAAAUCUCUGGAAGUUUUGUAAAGAUUAUCUUUGAUUUUCACUGCCACACAGAGUUGCUGUCAAAAGCUUGUUCUCUGCAGGAUGACCAAUGAUGUUGGUCCAUUUUGCAGUGAUGUCUGGGUGGCCCAGAUCCCUGUACAGGAUGCUCUGGACUUUCCAGGACCAUGAUCCCCUUGCUGUCAAAGCUGGGCCAAGGCUACCCUGCGCUUCGGCUCUCCAGGAGCGUUGGCAGCAUUUUCAACGCUGUUGGAAGAGACUCAGUCAAAGGAAUGAAGAAGAAGAACGUGGAUGCUGAUGCAGGUGAGGCUGCGCAUUUGGCAUGUGAACAUUGAGGCGGUUUAAAUACUUCAGCAAAUAGGAGACAAAGUUACGUGCUGAGAAUGAG